Molecule: non-coding RNA, 625 nt
Organism: Paramuricea clavata
Lineage: Eukaryota; Metazoa; Cnidaria; Anthozoa; Malacalcyonacea; Plexauridae
Source: the annotation of a GenBank genome assembly
GCACGCCUAAAAACGCACAGGUUGUUGCAAGUUGAUAUCGACAGGCGUGAACAAUGCUGUGCGGCCAACUAUGAACAAGUUGUCAACCAUGUUGUUCCAAGUUGUUACAGUUGAACAAUGCUGUAACAACAUGUUGACAAUACUGUUCAUAGUGGGCCGCACAACCUUCUUCACGCCUGUCGAUAUCAACUUGGAACAAGUUGUUGAUUUUCUCAAUUUUUACGCGUGUACCGAAUUUUGAGUGUAAAUCGGCUUUUUCCGGCAGCUUCCGAUGAUUCGUCGAACGUGCGAAUCGCGUAUAAUCGUCCAUGAAUUAUUCUUUGUUUUUAUUUUGAAAAUAUUUCUAUAAAUCAAACUUCUUGUAUCUUGCAAUCUGUAUUCUGUGUAGAAUUUUAUCGGUGAGUAAUAUAUUCUCACUUUCAAUCAGUAAAUCGACAACGAUUUAUGCUCAAUAUAUGUGUUCAAUAUUUAAUAUAAUUACAAUAUUUGAUCAAUUAUAAAGACUAGCUUAUAAAAAUGUGUUGUAUUUUCAAAGGUUAUUUUAAUAUAACAAUGAUCCUCUUUUUUUCUUUUACAAAAGAUAUUAAAAUCAAUGCUCCAAUAUAUCCAAGAAUGACUGAAUCAG